CAGCCGCCGCGGGAAUACGAAGGGGGCUAGCGUUGUUCGGAAUUACUGGGCGUAAAGCGCACGUAGGCGGAUAUUUAAGUCAGGGGUGAAAUCCCGCAGCUCAACUGCGGAACUGCCUUUGAUACUGGGUAUCUUGAGUAUGGAAGAGGUUAGUGGAAUUGCGAGUGUAGAGGUGAGAUUCGUAGAUAUUCGCAGGAACACCAGUGGCGAAGGCGGCUAACUGGUCCAUAACUGACGCUGAGGUGCGAAAGCGUGGGGAGCAAACAGGAUUAGAUACCCGAGUAGUCCCUGUCUCUUAUAC
RNAcentral lists this ribosomal RNA (301 nucleotides) under uncultured bacterium. Its description in RNAcentral is "partial 16S ribosomal RNA". It matches the Rfam family "Bacterial small subunit ribosomal RNA", at positions 509 to 807 of the family's 1533-position model. The record is from RNAcentral.